Cyprinus carpio (common carp) is the source of this 1212-nucleotide long non-coding RNA. RefSeq lists it as uncharacterized. The record is from RefSeq and is a predicted model, not a curated record. The transcript has 3 exons. NCBI's taxonomy places the organism in Eukaryota, Metazoa, Chordata, Actinopteri, Cypriniformes, Cyprinidae.
UGGCUUGUUCGUGAUGGUUGUGGGAUUUGACGGGAGAUUGAAGACGCGCUAAACUUUCUUUGGGAACAUCUCUGACUGUUUACGACGAAGUGCUUUCAAGGCGUCCGAAGUGGACCGACAGCAGCGAGAGCGUCUGCAAGCACAGUGACAGAUGGGGAAGCAUCAGGCGUUUGUGUUCAUCGAGCACAACCGUGCAUGUCCCUUGCUGUUGUGUGGAUGGACAAGAGCGACCUGUUUAACAUUCCUCUCAACUGUGGGCUCUUCCAGAACCUGGUCUCAGAGGAAAUGGAUUUAAAGGGCAACCAAUAAUAUGGGCUCGGCAAGACCUCUGAUCACUAAAUGCCAAGCCGGCUCCUGUCGCUGUGCUGUAUGACAGCUUAAUAAUGGCUUUCCUAGGUGCACGUUUUCAUUUCACAGUAGAUCCGUGGUCCAGGUGCGUGGUCACAGACCCAGUCCUGACCUCCUCAGGUCCACAUUCAUGACGCCUGACAAAGCUGAGCCCUGUAGAGAUUUCAGAGCACGACUCAAGUGUUCAGUGCUGCAUUUUAGGUCUAGUUAUUUUUCUUCAAUCUUAAAUAUGACCCACAUAGAGAAUAGAUUCUUGUGAAGAUCUUAGCUGGUCAUGACCCUUACAGAAAUGUGUCAUGGUUAUAGUUUCUGUCAAAAUACCACAAUUAUUGCAAUUAUUGUAGUGUAAAACUAGUCAUCUGAGCCAUCUAGAAGCUGUUUUGCAUUAAUCACUAAUCAUUUCCCAUCAUCACUCAAAAACAUCAACACGUAAACAAGUAAAAUAUUUUAGUGAAAAUGCAUGUCGGGUUACUGUAGGUUAAUUUGGCUGUUUAUUGUUAUAUUGGUACUUUGAAAUGAAUGAUUCAGCAUCGUUCUUUCAUUUAGAGAACAUUGUGUUUUUCAGCCAGUGGAAACAUGCGUUUAUUUUUAGGUGUUUACUGUUUUUCGUCUUGCAUUAAACCAUUGAUCUAAUUAGCUUCAAUGACUGUUUGGCUGAAAUGAUAGUUCCUCGGCUUGGGGAAAAAAUAAAAACACUCUUUUAAGCCUGCACAGAAAAUAGCCUGCAUAAAUAUGGAGAUAUAUUUAUUGCAGCCUUUUGGUGACAUUCAUUCAUUCAUUUUUUGUUUGUUUGUUUAUGCAUUUGUUCAUUUAUUUUAUAUGCAAUUUAUGUAUUGAUGCAUAUUAAUUUAUAUGUGAAUUAUG